GAUGAACGCUGGCGGCGUGCCUAAUACAUGCAAGUCGAGCGAAUGGAUUAAGAGCUUGCUCUUAUGAAGUUAGCGGCGGACGGGUGAGUAACACGUGGGUAACCUGCCCAUAAGACUGGGAUAACUCCGGGAAACCGGGGCUAAUACCGGAUAACAUUUUGAACCGCAUGGUUCGAAAUUGAAAGGCGGCUUCGGCUGUCACUUAUGGAUGGACCCGCGUCGCAUUAGCUAGUUGGUGAGGUAACGGCUCACCAAGGCAACGAUGCGUAGCCGAACUGGGAGGGUGAGCGGCCACACUGGGACGGAGACACGGCCCAGACUCCUACGGGAGGCAGCAGUAGGGAAUCUUCCGCAAUGGACGAAAGUCUGACGGGGCAACGCCGCGUGAGUGAUGAAGGCUUUCGGGUCGUAAAACUCUGUUGUUAGGGAAGAACAAGUGCUAGUUGAAUAAGCUGGCACCUUGACGGUACCUAACCAGAAAGCCACGGCUAACUACGUGCCAGCCGCCGCAGUAA
This 515-nucleotide ribosomal RNA is filed under the name uncultured bacterium. RNAcentral's name for it is "partial 16S ribosomal RNA". It matches the Rfam family "Bacterial small subunit ribosomal RNA", at positions 28 to 523 of the family's 1533-position model. The record is from RNAcentral.